GACGAACGCUGGCGGCGUGCCUAACACAUGCAAGUCGCACGGGACCAGGGGCAACUCUGGUUCAGUGGCGGACGGGUGCGUAACACGUGAGGAACAUGACCUUCGGCGGGGGAUAGCCGGCCCAACGGCCGGGUAAUACCGCGUACGACCCUUUGGGGACAUCCCUGAAGGGUGAAAGCAGCAAUGCGCCGAUGGAGUGCCUUGCGGCCUAUCAGCUAGUUGGUGGGGUAACGGCUCACCAAGGCAACGACGGGUAGCUGGUCUGAGAGGAUGGCCAGCCACAUUGGGACUGAGACACGGCCCAGACUCCUACGGGAGGCAGCAGUGGGGAAUAUUGCGCAAUGGACGAAAGUCUGACGCAGCGACGCCGCGUGUGGGAUGACGGUCUUCGGAUUGUAAACCACUGUCGGGAGGGACGAAUACGCCGCAAGGCGGGUGACGGUACCUCCAAAGGAAGCACCGGCUAACUCCGUGC
Molecule: ribosomal RNA, 475 nt
Filed under: uncultured bacterium
Lineage: Bacteria
Description: bacterial SSU rRNA
Rfam family: Bacterial small subunit ribosomal RNA
Source: RNAcentral